This 440-nucleotide ribosomal RNA is filed under the name uncultured bacterium. RNAcentral's name for it is "partial 16S ribosomal RNA". It matches the Rfam family "Bacterial small subunit ribosomal RNA", at positions 338 to 795 of the family's 1533-position model. The record is from RNAcentral.
CCUACGGGAGGCAGCAGUAGGGAAUAUUGCUCAAUGGGGGAAACCCUGAAGCAGCAACGCCGCGUGGAGGAUGAAGGUUUUCGGAUUGUAAACUACUUUUGUUAGAGAAGAUAAUGACGGUAUCUAACGAAUAAGCACCGGCUAACUCCGUGCCAGCAGCCGCGGUAAUACGGAGGGUGCAAGCGUUACUCGGAAUCACUGGGCGUAAAGAGCGCGUAGGCGGGUUAGCAAGUCAGAUGUGAAAUCCUAGGGCUUAACCAUAGAACUGCAUUUGAAACUGUUAUUCUAGAGUAUGGGAGAGGUAGGUAGAAUUCUUGGUGUAGGGGUAAAAUCCGUAGAGAUCAAGAGGAAUACUCAUUGCGAAGGCGACCUGCUAGAACAUAACUGACGCUGAUGCGCGAAAGCGUGGGGAGCAAACAGGAUUAGAUACCCCAGUAGUC